UUCAGGAAAAGCCAGCAAAAAUUAAAGAAAUUAAUGUGACAAAGAAGAGAGAAUUAAUUUAUAGGUUAAGAAGGGAACCACCCACUGGAGAAAUAGAGUAUUUAUUAGCGGAAUUCAAGAUACCUGCAUCUAUGGAGCUAAAAGAUAUGAACUUGGAAGUUGGUAAAGACCGUUUAGUUCUAGACUCUAAAGGAACAUACGAUCUUGUGGAUUUCUUCUUACCUUGCAGUGUUGAUCAGGAUAUAAUUGAUGCUCAACUAAAUAGGAAUAAUGACAUGUUGCUGGUCAAAAUGCCUGUGAUUCAUUAGUGUCAUAGUUAGUAAUUAAUAUGUUAAAAAUAAUAAAUAUAUAAUUA
Molecule: long non-coding RNA, 355 nt
Organism: Achroia grisella
Lineage: Eukaryota; Metazoa; Arthropoda; Insecta; Lepidoptera; Pyralidae
Exons: 3
Source: RefSeq, a predicted model, not a curated record